Molecule: long non-coding RNA, 645 nt
Filed under: Mytilus galloprovincialis (Mediterranean mussel)
Lineage: Eukaryota; Metazoa; Mollusca; Bivalvia; Mytilida; Mytilidae
Source: RNAcentral
CUUCAUGUUUGACAAAAUUUUAACUUCAAUUUAAUUUUCAAAAAAAAAUAUGCUCCAUAAUUUAUUGAAUUGAUACACCAUUUUUUUCGCAGAAAAUAUUGGUUAUUUAUUUUACAUUCAUGUGAGUAAAGUUAAGCAAUGGAUAAUAAUGACCUUGUUAUACUCCAUGAAAACACUGGUAUCUUGUCUUAGAGGCUUUAACAAGGGGUGCUAAAAUUUGUGUAAAAGAAUAAAGCUUUGACUCACUGAGUCAAAAAAAUUCCUCAUUUUAAUUCCAGAGUUCUAAUUUCAAAUACAUUUUAAAAAUUUCAUUGAGUGAAGGGGAGGUAACUCAUGAAAUGAAAAUACAAAUUUGAAAGAAUUUAAACUACAUGUAUAUGAUCCAAUAUUGUGAUAUACAUUUGUAAAGUAAGACACAGGGACCAUGCUCAGAGAGUUCAUUUGUGUAUAUUUUUUUUACAUUAGGGAAGUUGAGUCAGUAGAGUGUGUGGAUACAGGCAUUUUGAAGAGGGGGUUUCAAACCCUGGAACACCAUGAAACGUUCACAUGUUAAAAAAAGAAGAGAAACAAAAUAAUUUAAAUGCAGUAUUAAACUAUUUUUUUAAAUAUAACUUUUGAUGAUUUCAAAAUGCAGUAUACACCCAG